AUCCAUUUCUUCCUCCCCAAUGGCCCAUUUAAAUUCAUCUUAAACACUCCUUAACCUAGCCUAAUUUAACAUCCAAGACCAAACCCUAAACCUAAUCUAUGCUCAGCCGUAUACACCCCUACCCUCUCCAUCUCUCAUUUCCAGCAGACUUUGACCUUUAUCACGUCGUGAACAGACCUUGUCCACCCCUUCUCAAGCAAAAAUCGUCCUUUUUCUGCUUCCAUUUGGCAACUUUCUCGUCUCACGCUCCAAAUCACAUAAAAGAUCUCCAAAGACCAUAGCAGAUUCCACCAUUUCGGGAAACUCUGAAUUUGGUCCGCAAGUUCGUCCAAAAUCUGCCAACGUUCACUUUGAAAAGAAUUUUUGGAUUGGAUUUGAAAAAGGGUCUCAAAUCCCGCCCAAACUUGAACCCUAGGAUUUUCACCUAUAAAUACUACCUUUAACUCCAGUCGAAAGCAAGUUUUGGAUACCAUCAAAAAUCUCUCAAAGACUUUUAUUUUUCAGUCUCGUUUGCUUGUAUUUUUAUCAACUACACUAGUACUUUUGCUCUCUGUUCGACAAGCCUUACUCGAAAGGGGAAACAGAUCUGAGACCUUGAAAGUUCUGGUUCACUGCACCAUUAAAAGCCGAAGAGUCUCGUUCCGAGACUCGACGUCGCUGUUAAACUCGGAAGCUACAUCUACUCUUCAUUCGUUCCCCUCGCUCUCUCUUGAAAUAUUUCCGAAUAGAGACUAAAUGGGAGAUGAGGAGACAUGGCUUAUAUCCUGUCAUAGCUCUCUUUCAUUUUAUUGUUAUGAAUAUUAUGUUGGUUUUGAUGCGGUCUGUUUCUUGUAUUAAUUCAUUUUAAUGAUAUUUACGUGAUGUGCGGGUAGUAA
Long non-coding RNA from Lycium barbarum (goji berry), 875 nucleotides. RefSeq lists it as uncharacterized. The transcript has 2 exons. The record is from RefSeq and is a predicted model, not a curated record. NCBI's taxonomy places the organism in Eukaryota, Viridiplantae, Streptophyta, Magnoliopsida, Solanales, Solanaceae.